AUUGAACGCUGGCGGCAUGCCUUACACAUGCAAGUCGAACGGUAACAGGUCUUCGGAUGCUGACGAGAGGCGAACGGGUGAGUAAUACAUCGGAACGUGCCCAGACGUGGGGGAUAACGAGGCGAAAGCUUUGCUAAUACCGCAUACGAUCUAAGGAUGAAAGCAGGGGACCGCAAGGCCUUGCGCGUUUGGAGCGGCCGAUGGCAGAUUAGGUAGUUGGUGGGAUAAAAGCUUACCAAGCCGACGAUCUGUAGCUGGUCUGAGAGGACGACCAGCCACACUGGGACUGAGACACGGCCCAGACUCCUACGGGAGGCAGCAGUGGGGAAUUUUGGACAAUGGGCGAAAGCCUGAUCCAGCAAUGCCGCGUGCAGGAUGAAGGCCUUCGGGUUGUAAACUGCUUUUGUACGGAACGAAAAGGCUCUGGCUAAUACCUGGGGCACAUGACGGUACCGUAAGAAUAAGCACCGGCUAACUACGUG
This 482-nucleotide ribosomal RNA is filed under the name uncultured bacterium. Its description in RNAcentral is "partial 16S ribosomal RNA". It matches the Rfam family "Bacterial small subunit ribosomal RNA", at positions 30 to 507 of the family's 1533-position model. The record is from RNAcentral.